This 24-nucleotide non-coding RNA is filed under the name Arabidopsis thaliana (thale cress). Lineage: Eukaryota; Viridiplantae; Streptophyta; Magnoliopsida; Brassicales; Brassicaceae. The record is from RNAcentral.
AUGCAAGAAUCACAAGUUGGUCAA